AUUCAAAUGAUGACAACCUGUCACUGAUUCCCAAAACUUAUGCUCUAUUUUUGAGAAAGUUUUAAAGGGAAACUACAAAGGAUGUUCGCAUAAGCGAGGCAUUUGUCUGAUGUUGAA
Molecule: non-coding RNA, 117 nt
Organism: Musca domestica (house fly)
Lineage: Eukaryota; Metazoa; Arthropoda; Insecta; Diptera; Muscidae
Source: Rfam